AUUUAGGUAGCUUAAUUAUUAAAGCUAAUCAUUGAAAAUGAUUAAAUACGUGUCUUACGUCUUAAAUG
RNAcentral lists this transfer RNA (68 nucleotides) under Sogatella furcifera (white-backed planthopper). RNAcentral's name for it is "tRNA-Phe". It matches the Rfam family "tRNA". Rfam says of the family: Transfer RNA (tRNA) molecules are approximately 80 nucleotides in length. The record is from RNAcentral. Lineage: Eukaryota; Metazoa; Arthropoda; Insecta; Hemiptera; Delphacidae.